RNAcentral lists this long non-coding RNA (605 nucleotides) under Monodelphis domestica (gray short-tailed opossum). Its description in RNAcentral is "lncRNA (ENSMODG00000032850.2)". The record is from RNAcentral. Lineage: Eukaryota; Metazoa; Chordata; Mammalia; Didelphimorphia; Didelphidae.
UUGGAGUAGUGAGAUACAUAGGAGUCCAAUGCCACUAUCUAGUUGGAAUCUAUGCACUUGAAAGCUUAAAAAAAUAACAAAGCCCUGAAGGCCUAUCUUGUUCAAUUAUUUCAGGUCAUGUCCAACUCUUUGUGAUUAGCAUGGUUUACCAUUCCUUUUUCCAGCUCAUUUUAUAGAUGAAGAAACUGAGGCAAACAGAAUUAAGUGACUGGACCAGGAUCACCAAGGCUAGUUUCUGAAAGAAAGAUGGAAUAAGCACUCUGGGCAGGGCUGCUCACUGGGUGCUGAGGACAUCCUAGUGGAGGUGCCAAGUUGCAAUGAGGAUGGAUGGCAGCAUCUCUUUAUGCCUAAGGAGCCUUCUUCUCCAGGCCAUUUUGGUUGCCCAGCUGCCAAGAUGAAGGAUGCCACCUAGUAACUGGACUGAUGCAAAGAGUUUUCCUAAAGAUUCCUCUUCAUAUUUGUGGAUCCUUGAGAAUUCCUCCUAUCGUGUGUCUCAACAGAUUCCAAGGACUUUGACAUCGUGGUGUAAAAACAACAUCUUGGUCUCAUCAGGAAUGUUGUUUCCUAUGAAAAUUGUAGGUUUCUCUUUGAUUUAUGUGAUAUGA